RNAcentral lists this ribosomal RNA (253 nucleotides) under uncultured bacterium. Its description in RNAcentral is "partial 16S ribosomal RNA". It matches the Rfam family "Bacterial small subunit ribosomal RNA", at positions 524 to 776 of the family's 1533-position model. The record is from RNAcentral.
GACGAACCGUGCGAACGUUGUUCGGAAUCACUGGGCUUAAAGGGCGCGUAGGCGGGCUGCCAAGUUCGGGGUGAAAUCCUCCCGCUCAACGGGAGAACGGCCCCGAAUACUGGCGGUCUCGAGGGAGGUAGGGGCGUGCGGAACUAUGGGUGGAGCGGUGAAAUGCGUUGAUAUCCAUAGGAACUCCGGUGGCGAAGGCGGCACGCUGGACCUUUUCUGACGCUGAGGCGCGAAAGCCAGGGGAGCAAACGGG